RNAcentral lists this unclassified non-coding RNA (171 nucleotides) under soil metagenome. RNAcentral describes it as "partial internal transcribed spacer 1". The record is from RNAcentral.
UUAAUUCUUCUAGUUAAGCGGCUGCGCGUUAAAAAACGUGGCUGUUUUUCUUGUGAACUGGGGCUGUCGCUUGGGUUAACGCUCAAGUGGCAGUCUGGCUUUAAUGCUCUUGUGUUAAUUUUUUUGUUUUUGCUUUCUUAAGUUUAACCGCUUAAGAAAAUAAUCACAAGA